CCUACGGGAGGCAGCAGUGGGGAAUAUUGGACAAUGGGCGAAAGCCUGAUCCAGCAAUGCCGCGUGAGUGAUGAAGGCCUUAGGGUUGUAAAGCUCUUUUACCCGGGAUGAUAAUGACAGUACCGGGAGAAUAAGCCCCGGCUAACUCCGUGCCAGCAGCCGCGGUAAU
RNAcentral lists this ribosomal RNA (169 nucleotides) under uncultured bacterium. Its description in RNAcentral is "partial 16S ribosomal RNA". It matches the Rfam family "Bacterial small subunit ribosomal RNA", at positions 338 to 524 of the family's 1533-position model. The record is from RNAcentral. RNAcentral also lists the same sequence under 4 other names.